GAAAUGCGAUAAUUAAUGUGAAUUGCAGAAUUCAGUGAAUCAUCGAGUCUUUGAACGCACAUUGCGCCCCCUGGUAUUCCGGGGGGCAUGCCUGUCCGAGCGUCAUUGCUGCCCUCAAGCACGGCUCGUGUGUUGGGCUUCCGUCCCUGGCAACGGGGACGGGCCCAAAAGGCAGUGGCGGCACCAUGUCUGGUCCUCGAGCGUAUGGGGCUUUGUCACCCGCUCCCGUAGGUCCAGCUGGCAGCUAGCCUCGCAACCAAUCUUUUUAACCAGGUUGACCUCGGAUCAGGUAGGGAUACCCGCUGAACUUAAGC
This 314-nucleotide unclassified non-coding RNA is filed under the name plant metagenome. RNAcentral's name for it is "partial contains 5.8S ribosomal RNA, internal transcribed spacer 2, and large subunit ribosomal RNA". The stretch from base 1 to 105 matches the Rfam family "5.8S ribosomal RNA", at positions 50 to 154 of the family's 154-position model. The record is from RNAcentral.